This 301-nucleotide ribosomal RNA is filed under the name Providencia rettgeri. RNAcentral's name for it is "partial 23S ribosomal RNA". It matches the Rfam family "Bacterial large subunit ribosomal RNA", at positions 1 to 309 of the family's 2925-position model. Lineage: Bacteria; Pseudomonadati; Pseudomonadota; Gammaproteobacteria; Enterobacterales; Morganellaceae. The record is from RNAcentral.
GGUUAAGCGACUAAGCGUACACGGUGGAUGCCUAGGCAAUCAGAGGCGAUGAAGGACGUGCUAAUCUGCGAUAAGCGUCGGUAAGGUGAUAUGAACCGUUACAACCGACGAUUUCCGAAUGGGGAAACCCAGUGCAAUUCGUUGCACUAUCGUUUGAUGAAUACAUAGUCAAACGAAGCGAACCGGGGGAACUGAAACAUCUCAGUACCCCGAGGAAAAGAAAUCAACCGAGAUUCCCCUAGUAGCGGCGAGCGAACGGGGAGCAGCCCAGAGUCUUAAUCAGCAUUAGCAUCAGGAGAAC